CAGGUGGUCGGUUGUGAGGAAACUCAGUCACAUAGAUAUGCCCAGUGACCCAUGUGGAAAGGUUGGUUCAAGUAACAAAGGACUGAUUUUCAAUCUUAAAAGUAGAUAAUUGAUUCUUAUCUAUAAAGGGGCGGACCCUUUAACCUUGCAACACAAACCUUUAUCUCUGGCUAGUUAAGGUCCCUCCAGAUCUUAAGGACAGUAAACGUAGCAGCCCUGUCCAGCAGUGGCUUCAAGAAUGUGGUAAGGGCACCAACCCGUGGAGGCAGUGGAAGGACCAUACAGUCAAUUAUAAAAGUUUUACUGUCAAUCAGUCAAUUUAGCCAGUGCCAGUGAGUCUGGUUUACUUUAAGCAGAUAUCAAACACAUCUUCAUCCAACGCUGUGUGUUUUAGAAAGACACAUAAUAUUGAUGUUUUGCAUUAAAACAAAACAUGUAUUAUGUGUCGAAUAAAACACACAGCGUUGCAGUUUACUGCUUGCUGAUGAAGAUGCUAUGGAGCUUGGAAGAUGACAGCGCUUCAAAGGCGAUGAUGACAGAUGCCAUACUAGGGACGCGCUCUUGCUAGUGAGGUGAAAGAUCCAUCGAUAUUUGGUAAGGUGACCCAAUUUGCAUAGAGAUAUAUAGGAUUCAUAGACUGCUUUCUUCAUCCAACGCUGUGUGUUUUAUUCGACACAUAAUACAUGUUUUGUUUUAAUGCAAAACAUCAAUAUUA
Colias croceus (clouded yellow) is the source of this 715-nucleotide long non-coding RNA. RefSeq lists it as uncharacterized. Lineage: Eukaryota; Metazoa; Arthropoda; Insecta; Lepidoptera; Pieridae. The transcript has 2 exons. The record is from RefSeq and is a predicted model, not a curated record.